GUUGGUGUAAUGUAAUCAGGUGAAUAUAAUGCUUGCGAUGUUACUCGGAGUGUAUAUCCACACCGGGCGCGAGCUUGAAAUGAUAUGCCUGGCCACGGUGGGAAUCGAACCUACGACCUUUGGCGGUCAGGACGGUUCGAGUAUGUGAUAUUUCGGAAGUGAGUCUAGUUCCUUCGUGGCAGAGCAUUGGGCCAGUGUUCUAAAGGUCGUAGGUUCGAUUCCCACCGUGGCCAGGCAUAUUUUUCAAGCUUGCCGGCGGUGUUGAUAUACACUCAGAGUAACAUCAUAAUCACUAAUUAUGUAAAAUGUUUGUAUCACGGCAGGAGACUCCUAUGUGCGGAUGCGCAGACCGGACUGUACCCUAUCUUUAAACAACUGAUAUAGUUUAGACGGCGUAUUUUUCAUGUGCCAAAACAAUUAACCAUUUGCUUCGACUUUACUGCAUCUUGCACAUACGGCAGUCGAUUUAUUGGGCGAACCAAUUAAGUCAUGUCGAAUUGUUAAAUUAAGAAAUUGCAAAUAUUGGGGAAAU
Paramuricea clavata is the source of this 532-nucleotide non-coding RNA. The record is from the annotation of a GenBank genome assembly. Lineage: Eukaryota; Metazoa; Cnidaria; Anthozoa; Malacalcyonacea; Plexauridae.